RNAcentral lists this transfer RNA (67 nucleotides) under Pupilla muscorum. RNAcentral describes it as "tRNA-Pro". The record is from RNAcentral. Lineage: Eukaryota; Metazoa; Mollusca; Gastropoda; Stylommatophora; Pupillidae.
UUAAAAGAAGUUUUGUAAAACAUUAACUUUGGGAGUUAAAAAUUGAAGAAAGCUCUUCACUUUUAAA